GAAUCAUUAUAAUAAUUGAUAACAUAAGGGAAAAUAAUGAUAUUACCUUAUUAUUAGUGUCGUCCAAAACUGGUGCCAGAAGACUCGGUAAGGCCAGAGACACAAAYGUUAAUCGUCUUAAUCAGGCGUAAAGGGUUUGUAGGCGGCUUU
RNAcentral lists this ribosomal RNA (150 nucleotides) under Russula subtilis. Its description in RNAcentral is "partial small subunit ribosomal RNA". The record is from RNAcentral. Lineage: Eukaryota; Fungi; Basidiomycota; Agaricomycetes; Russulales; Russulaceae.